Molecule: ribosomal RNA, 896 nt
Filed under: uncultured bacterium
Lineage: Bacteria
Description: bacterial SSU rRNA
Rfam family: Bacterial small subunit ribosomal RNA
Source: RNAcentral
GAUGAACGCUAGCUACAGGCUUAACACAUGCAAGUCGAGGGGAAACGAUAUUGGAAGCUUGCUUCCGAUAGGCGUCGACCGGCGCACGGGUGAGUAACGCGUAUCCAACCUGCCCAUCACUUGGGGAUAACCUUGCGAAAGUAAGACUAAUACCCAAUGAUAUCUCUAGAAGACAUCUGAAGGAGAUUAAAGAUUCAUCGGUGAUGGAUGGGGAUGCGUCUGAUUAGCUUGUUGGCGGGGUAACGGCCCACCAAGGCGACGAUCAGUAGGGGUUCUGAGAGGAAGGUCCCCCACAUUGGAACUGAGACACGGUCCAAACUCCUACGGGAGGCAGCAGUGAGGAAUAUUGGUCAAUGGGCGAGAGCCUGAACCAGCCAAGUAGCGUGCAGGAUGACGGCCCUAUGGGUUGUAAACUGCUUUUAUAAGGGAAUAAAGUGAGCCUCGUGAGGCUUUUUGUAUGUACCUUAUGAAUAAGGACCGGCUAAUUCCGUGCCAGCAGCCGCGGUAAUACGGAAGGUCCGGGCGUUAUCCGGAUUUAUUGGGUUUAAAGGGAGCGUAGGCCGGAGAUUAAGCGUGUUGUGAAAUGUAGAUGCUCAACAUCUGCACUGCAGCGCGAACUGGUUUCCUUGAGUACGCACAAAGUGGGCGGAAUUCGUGGUGUAGCGGUGAAAUGCUUAGAUAUCACGAAGAACUCCGAUUGCGAAGGCAGCUCACUGGAGCGCAACUGACGCUGAAGCUCGAAAGUGCGGGUAUCGAACAGGAUUAGAUACCCUGGUAGUCCGCACGGUAAACGAUGGAUGCCCGCUGUUGGUCUGAAUAGGUCAGCGGCCAAGCGAAAGCAUUAAGCAUCCCACCUGGGGAGUACGCCGGCAACGGUGAAACUCAAAGGAAUUGAC